This 421-nucleotide ribosomal RNA is filed under the name Fusobacteriota bacterium. RNAcentral describes it as "Fusobacteria bacterium partial 16S ribosomal RNA". It matches the Rfam family "Bacterial small subunit ribosomal RNA", at positions 355 to 776 of the family's 1533-position model. The record is from RNAcentral. Lineage: Bacteria; Fusobacteriati; Fusobacteriota.
UGGGGAAUAUUGCACAAUGGGCGGAAGUUUGAUGCAGCGACGCCGCGUGGAGGGUGUAGGCCUUCGGGUUGUGAACUCCUUUUUCUCGCGAAAAAGGCACAGUUUUGGCUGUGUUGAUGGUAGUGGGGGAAGAAGCGCCGGCUAACUACGUGCCAGCAGCCGCGGUAAUACGUAGGGCGCGAGCGUUGUCCGGAUUUAUUGGGCGUAAAGAGCUCGUAGGUGGUUCGUCGCGUCUGUCGUGAAAGCCAGCAGCUUAACUGUUGGUCUGCGGUGGGUACGGGCGGGCUUGAGUGCGGUAGGGGUGACUGGAAUUCCUGGUGUAGCGGUGGAAUGCGCAGAUAUCAGGAGGAACACCGAUGGCGAAGGCAGGUCACUGGGCCGUUACUGACACUGAGGAGCGAAAGCGUGGGGAGCGAACAGG